RNAcentral lists this unclassified non-coding RNA (304 nucleotides) under Hevea brasiliensis (rubber tree). Lineage: Eukaryota; Viridiplantae; Streptophyta; Magnoliopsida; Malpighiales; Euphorbiaceae. The record is from RNAcentral.
AUAAGCUUUGUGAAACCCCAAUUAUUGGCGGAAGUGCAGAAUUUAUUAUUAGCUUUUUGCUCACGAUGAACUCCAAAAAGUUGAUCCCUCACACGCAGGAUGAAUUCAGUAAAGAGCUUCUGUCCGGAGUAAAAAGGUUUUGAAUCCUCCAAGUGUAAAAACAUGGACAAGCAUUUGCCUUUCUCUUCUGAAUACCCAUUGGGAUAAAGCGUCAAACACCAUUUGUAUCCACCAAUAACAAACACCUGAGAUGUAUAUCCUACUUGGUUCCAAUCUGAAAACUUUUGAAUUUUCCAAGUGUAGG